Molecule: long non-coding RNA, 3672 nt
Organism: Lolium perenne
Lineage: Eukaryota; Viridiplantae; Streptophyta; Magnoliopsida; Poales; Poaceae
Source: RefSeq, a predicted model, not a curated record
CAUACCCGAGCAGAGACCACCGCCGCCAACCCUCGCCGGAGCCUUGCCGCCUCCUCCACCGGCUCUGCCGCACCACCCGUACCCACCUCCACGCGGCGCUGCGCUCUGCCCGGCCACCAACGGGCCAUAGGUUGUGCCAACUGUAUGACAUAGUGUUUAGCUUUUAAGCAUUUGAUCGGAAAAUCUGAUGACCGUGCGCAUCUCAUUGCCGAUGUGUUUCAGUGUUGAGUAGAUGACAUAGUGUUUAGCUUUACUGUGGUUGUUCUGCAAAUAUGAGCUGCUCCUGUUGUUGUUUACUAGCUGAUGGUGAUAUACACGUCAUGUUGAUUUUGCAUUUCUGUAGAUUUAUCAAAGAUUUGAUUGAUUGUACCUGUUAUCUAAUAACAUUGGUAGUCUUGCCAUAGUAAAGUUGGUACCUAAUUUGCGCUUGGUUCUGUUUUUUUUUUUGUUGUACACCAAUUUAGUACUCGUAUUUUAUUUCAAAAAAUAAUGCAUGCUUUCUAGGAUGUGCUCCAAUUGUUGUUCUGAGCUGCUAUUUUGUGGAUUAUGUUGAUAUGUCAUCCAUUUAUUGUUCCCUAGAUCAUAUGUACUGUACAUAUGAUGGCAUGAACUGGACUUUACCCGGACAAUAGACAAUUAGCAAGCUAUGUGCUGAAAUUAUUUAUGUUUGGAGGGAGUCUAGUAGAACCUUCAUCUGGAGUUUAGCUGUCUGUUUCUUCUCCCGACAGCUCUCGACAAUAGGUUGGCCUGCAUCUUUGCCAACUAGUGAGAGAGAGCCAUUUACAAAAGUUCAUAGUUCUUUGCCUAUCUCUAUUCUUCAUUGUUUUUGCUGUUUCUUGGAUGAGCGUUAUUGAUGCAGAUGAGGAGACAGAAGUUUAUGGGUAAUUUGCGUCUGAGGCAUCUCUGUGAUGUCACACUCUAUCACCUUGGAGAUCUGAUGCAUCCGUUAUAAUGUUCUCCCCUUUUGUCUUCUUUUUUUAUUUGUUUACGUGAGAUGAUGAUGCCAAUAUUUGUUGAUGGACUAGUAUGCUGUCCAGUGAAUCAUGUAUUAGCUCUAUCUAAUUAUGUCCCACAGUGCUUGUUAUGCUAUAUUUCUGAGGAAAAAACCUGUUGGUUUAUCUUGUGUUGAAUUUGCUGGUUUGUUUCUUUGUUGAAAUGGGCCUGCUGUGAUGCAGAUGAGGGGACACCAGUUUUUGGUUAUUUUGCGUCUGAUUUAUUUCAAUGAUGUCACUCUUUUCACCUUGAAGAACUGAUUCAUUCCCCUUGAUGAUGCUGUUGCGUUUUCAGUACUUACCGUACAAAAUUAUUUUGUUUUUUGUGUUAAUUGAUGAGAGAUGAGAUGAUGAAUGAGAUUAAUUUCCCUAUUGGUUUGAUUGGCCGAUAUGAUGGCCUAAAUUCUGAACCGAGUCUGAUCAUUCUCUUGUUUUCAUGAAAAAACAUGUUUUCUUUUGCUUGCCUUCCUGUCUUGUCUUCACCAAUCUAUAUUCUUCCUUGUUGCUGUUUUUUAUGAACAUUGUUGGUGCAGAUGAGGAGGCACAAGUUUUAUGGGUAAUUUGCAUCUGAGGCGUCUCUGUGAUGUCACACUCUUUUCACCUUGGAGAUCUGAUGCAUCUGCAAUAAUGUUCUCUUCUGCUUGUUUGAGUUAUUACUUUUUUUUUUUUCCUUUUGAUUCCUGUGGGCGAAAUGAGGAUGACAUUAUAUUGUUGAUGGAUGCUAUGAUGUCCAAUGAAUCAUGUAUUAGCUCUAUCUGAUCAUAUCCCUACUUGUGUUUUAUUUUAUAUUUUGGAUGGAAAAUUGAUGAUUAAUCUUCUUUUCUCCAAUUGCUGAUUCCUUUCUUUGUUGAAAGGUGUGUUAUUGAUGGAGAUGAGGAAGCAGAAAUUUAUGGGUAAUUUGCAUCUGAGACUUUUCUGUUUUGUCUCUCUUUUUCACCUUGGAAAUCUGAUGCGUCCCCCCUUGGCCUUACCCUUGAUGAUGCCUGUUGUGUUCUUAGGACUUUCUUUUCUAAAAUCUUUUGUUUUGGAUUUUAAUGGGCGAGAGAUGAGAUGAUGAAUGAGAUUAAUUUCCCUAUUGGUUUGAUUGGCUGAUAUGAUGGCCUAAAUACUGAACCGAAACUGAUCAUCCUCUCAUUUCCUCAAAAUGUUUGAUUUGUCUUGUCUUUGCCAAACUAUAUUCUUCCUCAUUCUUGUUGCUGUUUUUUCGAGGAGCAUUGUUGAUGCAGAUGAGGAGACACAAGUUUAUGGGUAAUUUGCAUCUGAGGCGUCUCUGUGAUGUCACACUCUUUUCACCUUGGAGAUCUGAUGCAUCCUGAUAUGAUGGCCUAAAUACUGAACCGAAACUGAUCAUCCCUUUCAUUUCCUCAAAAUGUUUGAUUUCUCAUCUUUACCAAAUUAUAUUCUUCCUCAUUUUUGUUGCUGUUUUUUUGGAGGAACAUUGUUGAUGCAGAUGAGGAGACACAAGUUUAUGGGUAAUUUGCAUCUGAGGCAUCUCUGUGAUGUCACACUCUUAUCACCUUGGAGAUCUGAUGCAUCUGCAACAAUAUUUUUUUUUCCUUACUUCCUUUCUUUCAUUUUUUUUUGAUUCGUUUGUGAAGAUGAGGAUGCCAUUGUUUUCUUAUACUGUGUUUUAUUCUGUAUAGUAUUUUGGGGUAAAGAACCUGCUAUCUUCUUUUUUCCAUAAAACCUAUGGUUUUGUGCUCCUGUCCUGUCCGUCAUUCUUAUUUCAGCCUUGUUCUUUGUAGAAUAAUUUCAUUUAUUCAAUAGAUGAUUAUUUUUUUAGUUCAGUUGAUGGAGAUGAGAUGAUGAAUGAGAUUAAUUUCCCUAUUGGUUUGACUGGCCGAUAUGAUGGCCCAAAUACUGAACUGAAACUGAUCAUCCCCCCUGCUUUGAUACUGAAAUAAUUGGGCUUAGUUUUUUCUCUUCUGUUUUAAAAACAUGUCAAAAUUCUUCAUUGUAGAAUGUUACCAAAAAAUGAUUUUAAUGCUGAAAAUAAACCAGAAAUAUUAGGUCCUUGAAAUUAGAUGCAUAUAGGGUAUGCGCUAAGUAAGCCUCAACUAAAACUUACGUUUACUAGUUGCCCACCAUCUCAGCGCAUUCUGUACAUACUGGGCUUAAGCAAGUGAUCCAGGUUUAGCAAAGAUCUAUAUGCUGAUUUGGUGAGGGUUUUUUAGUUCUCUAGCCUCCUCGAACCUCAGUCUCACGGAUCUUCUAUUCAACCACACCAAGUUAACCAUUGGGAUCAUUGAUUUUAACAUUUCACCCUUCUGUUUGUUUCUUAUUGUUGUCUCAGUUAUUAUCUGCCUGGGGUAUGUUUGGUGAGUAAAAGAUGCUGGUAGAGGUCUGCGGCCCCUCAUUCUCUGGUAUCUAGUCAGCUGCAAAAGAUUGACAGCGAAACUGGUGGCUUUGAGAAUCCUGCCGUUGAACCAUUUGCAGUUGGAAGCUUAUCUACCGUUUGAAGUUAUUCAGGUUGAGAGUUUGGACCUUGCUGUAUAUUAGUAGAGCAAAGAAGACCGGAAGUUUUCAUGCCCAAUUUUGUAAAAUUUAUUUUACAUUAUGGGAGGAACUAUUCAGUAUCAUGUGGCAAUAAGUAGAAUGUAUGUUCGGCAUUUCUGAAUGCGACAGGAGAAUGUAAAUUGCAGUUGUACUGAAAAUAGUAAAUAAAAUGUUCUGCUUAGCA